Camelina sativa (false flax) is the source of this 498-nucleotide long non-coding RNA. RefSeq lists it as uncharacterized. The record is from RefSeq and is a predicted model, not a curated record. Lineage: Eukaryota; Viridiplantae; Streptophyta; Magnoliopsida; Brassicales; Brassicaceae.
UGAAGGUCAUCAGACUUAGAUAAGACUGGCCAAGGCUAAGGUUAGCAUAAACAUAGUCCAGAAAAGGAGACUUGAUUGCUUACAGCGAUAAGACGGCGAAAGAUCUCUACUAUUAUCUGGCUUCUUCAACAGCUGAAAUAGCUGUGAAACUGGAGGAGAUUUCUGAGCUCGAGCUGCCUUAGCAAGAGACCUCGGUGGUGGUGGUGGCGGAGGAGGCGGUGGUGUUGGUGGUGCAACGGGUGAAGAGUUUUCAUCUCUUUUACCUGAAUUGUUAGCUGAAGACACCAAAAACUUUGGCAAUGGCGGUGUUGGUGGUAAUCUUGAAAGUGCAGGCGAUGAUGGAGAUGAUCUUGUUUUAAUGGAGCUUGAUGACUCUACUGCUACCUCUUUUUUAACCUUGGAUUGCUCUAAUUUGCUAGCUAUUAACCUCUGUAUAUCUUUGAAUCUGCUGUUCUGAUGUUCUUUAGCUGGCUGAAUCAACCAAAACACUUUGAGAGA